Molecule: long non-coding RNA, 267 nt
Filed under: Elaeis guineensis (African oil palm)
Lineage: Eukaryota; Viridiplantae; Streptophyta; Magnoliopsida; Arecales; Arecaceae
Description: long non-coding RNA (EGUI_LNC023756)
Source: RNAcentral
AUUGCUUGUAGUUCAUUCGGUGGGUCUGGACGGCCUUCAAAGACAUGGUCCUCUGUGGGUUUCGCCUCACCAUAUUGUGUCAUAGCGAAAUUCUUUGUGCACCACAGGCAGUGCAGCAUCGCACGCACCGCCCGCGAUGAUUGGUUCCUGCACGGGGUGGUGAAAAUUUUUUUUUUCCGCACCCUGAUUCCAUGUGUGCACCAAUUAUUGUGGAUAGUGCGCAUGUUUCUGCACCACCCAUGGUGCACAAAGAUUUCCUCUUGUGCC